This 373-nucleotide ribosomal RNA is filed under the name uncultured bacterium. RNAcentral's name for it is "bacterial SSU rRNA". It matches the Rfam family "Bacterial small subunit ribosomal RNA", at positions 525 to 896 of the family's 1533-position model. The record is from RNAcentral.
ACGUAGGGGGCAAGCGUUGUCCGGAAUCAUUGGGCGUAAAGAGCGUGUAGGCGGCUUCGUAAGUCCGUUGUGAAAGUCCAGGGCUCAACCCUGGAAUGCCGAUGGAUACUGCGGAGCUAGAGUACGGAAGAGGCGAGUGGAAUUCCUGGUGUAGCGGUGAAAUGCGCAGAUAUCAGGAGGAACACCUAUGGCGAAGGCAGCUCGCUGGGACGUUACUGACGCUGAGACGCGAAAGCGUGGGGAGCAAACAGGAUUAGAUACCCUGGUAGUCCACGCCGUAAACGAUGGGCACUAGGUGUGGGGGGUGUCGACUCCCUCCGUGCCGAAGCUAACGCAUUAAGUGCCCCGCCUGGGGAGUACGGCCGCAAGGCUA